AGUGAAUGCAAAGUGAGCUGUGUUCCUCCUCUACUUCUGUGACUGCAGAGAGGAUGACAGAGAACAGUGGACACACAGUUGAACAUGAUGGACUAUAGGACAGGACUGCUGCUUUUAACUGUCUGCUGGGCAGGUGUUGAUGCUCAGACUCUGACAGAGUCUGAACCAGUGGUUAAAAGUCCUGAACAAUCACGCAGACUGACCUGUACAGCCUCUGGGUUCACAUUCAGCAACUACGAUAUGGUUUGGGUCAGACAGGCACCUGGACAAGGACUGGAGUGGGUCGCAACUGUUAGUUAUCCGAGUGGUGACACCCAGUACUACUCUGAUUCAGUCAGAGGUCGGUUCACCAUCUCCAGAGACAACAGCAGACAGCAGGCAUAUCUGCAGAUGAACAGUCUGAAGGCUGAAGACUCUGCGGUGUAUUACUGUGCCAGAUGGCCACACACCCUCUUUGAUUUCGGGCGUUUCACGGAGAUCUCUCUCACCUCAAGGCUGCUCCGGACUCGUUGA
Molecule: non-coding RNA, 513 nt
Organism: Cheilinus undulatus (humphead wrasse)
Lineage: Eukaryota; Metazoa; Chordata; Actinopteri; Labriformes; Labridae
Source: the annotation of a RefSeq genome assembly